RNAcentral lists this non-coding RNA (88 nucleotides) under Acetoanaerobium sticklandii. The record is from RNAcentral. Lineage: Bacteria; Bacillati; Bacillota; Clostridia; Peptostreptococcales; Filifactoraceae.
GUUUCUUUGCCGCCGGGUAAAGAAAUCUAGGCGUCAGCUUUCCUAUCGUUAGGCCAUUGAAGAUAGGAAGUGCUGGCGCUUUUGUUUU